Molecule: ribosomal RNA, 447 nt
Filed under: uncultured bacterium
Lineage: Bacteria
Description: bacterial SSU rRNA
Rfam family: Bacterial small subunit ribosomal RNA
Source: RNAcentral
UGGGGAAUUUUGGACAAUGGGCGCAAGCCUGAUCCAGCCAUACCGCGUGAAGGAUGAAGUAUUUCGGUAUGUAAACUUCGAAAGAAUAGGAAGAAUAAAUGACGGUACUAUUUAUAAGGUCCGGCUAACUACGUGCCAGCAGCCGCGGUAAUACGUAGGGACCAAGCGUUGUUCGGAUUUACUGGGCGUAAAGGGCGCGUAGGCGGCAAUUCAAGUCAUCUGUGAAAUCUCCGGGCUUAACUCGGAACGGUCAGAUGAUACUGCUUUGCUAGAGUGCAGAAGGGGCAAUCGGAAUUCUUGGUGUAGCGGUGAAAUGCGUAGAUAUCAAGAGGAACACCUGAGGUGAAGACGGGUUGCUGGGCUGACACUGACGCUGAGGCGCGAAAGCCAGGGGAGCAAACGGGAUUAGAUACCCGAGUAGUCCCUGAGCGGGCUGGCAAGGCGCAU